UACAGAGGGGGCCAGCGUUAUUCGGAAUUAUUGGGCGUAAAGGGCGCGUAGGCGGCCCAGCGUGUCUUCCGUGAAAUCCCUCGGCUUAACUGAGGACGUGCGGAAGAAACUGCAGGGCUCGAGGCCGGGAGAGGGGGGUGGAAUUCCCAGUGUAGCGGUGAAAUGCGUAGAUAUUGGGAGGAACACCGGUGGCGAAGGCGGCCCCCUGGACCGGUUCUGACGCUGAUGCGCGAAAGCGUGGGUAGCAAACGGG
This 253-nucleotide ribosomal RNA is filed under the name uncultured bacterium. Its description in RNAcentral is "partial 16S ribosomal RNA". It matches the Rfam family "Bacterial small subunit ribosomal RNA", at positions 524 to 776 of the family's 1533-position model. The record is from RNAcentral.